AACGCGAAGAACCUUACCAAGGUUUGACAUGCGCGGAAAUCCUCCAGAGAUGGGGGGUCCUUCGGGGUCGCGCACAGGUGGUGCAUGGCUGUCGUCAGCUCGUGUCGUGAGAUGUUGGGUUAAGUCCCGCAACGAGCGCAACCCUCGUCCCAUGUUGCCAGCGGGUUAUGCCGGGGACUCAUGGGAGACUGCCGGGGUCAACUCGGAGGAAGGUGGGGAUGACGUCAAGUCAUCAUGCCCCUUAUGUCUUGGGCUGCAAACAUGCUACAAUGGCCGGUACAAAGGGCUGCGAACCCGCAAGGGUAAGCGAAUCCCGGAAAGCCGGUCUCAGUUCGGAUCGGGGUCUGCAACUCGGCCCCGUGAAGUCGGAGUCGCUAGUAAUCGCGAAUCAGCAACGUCGCGGUGAAUACGUUCCCGGGCCUUGUACACACCGCUAGUC
This 439-nucleotide ribosomal RNA is filed under the name uncultured bacterium. Its description in RNAcentral is "bacterial SSU rRNA". It matches the Rfam family "Bacterial small subunit ribosomal RNA", at positions 958 to 1398 of the family's 1533-position model. The record is from RNAcentral.